Molecule: unclassified non-coding RNA, 307 nt
Filed under: plant metagenome
Description: partial contains 5.8S ribosomal RNA, internal transcribed spacer 2, and large subunit ribosomal RNA
Rfam family: 5.8S ribosomal RNA (bases 1-105)
Source: RNAcentral
GAGAUGCGAUAAGUAAUGUGAAUUGCAGAAUUCAGUGAAUCAUCGAAGCUUUGAACGCACAUUGCGCCCGCCAGCACUCUGGCGGGCAUGCCUGUUCGAGCGUCAUUUCAACCCUCAGAACCCCUUGCGGGAUCUGGCGUUGGGGAUUGGCAUCCAGCCAGCCCCGAAAUCUAGUGGCGGUCCCUCCGCGACCUCCCCUGUGCAGUAGCGAUACCUCGCAGCGGGACAGCGGUCUGACCACGCCGUAAAACCCCCAACUUCUCAAGGUUGACCUCGAAUCAGGUAGGAAUACCCGCUGAACUUAAGC